RNAcentral lists this non-coding RNA (164 nucleotides) under human gut metagenome. RNAcentral's name for it is "Lysine riboswitch". It matches the Rfam family "Lysine riboswitch aptamer". Rfam says of the family: Riboswitches are metabolite binding domains within certain messenger RNAs that serve as precision sensors for their corresponding targets. Allosteric rearrangement of mRNA structure is mediated by ligand binding, and this results in modulation of gene expression. The record is from RNAcentral. RNAcentral also lists the same sequence under 1 other name.
UGGUAGAGGACGCGGAUAGGAAAAGUACCCCUUAGCAUAACGCCGGUAAGCGGCUAUGGGGAAAAGGCCGUUCCGCCGAAGCUUCCCUGCGGUUGCCGCCGCUCGGUUGCUGGGACUGCGUUUAAUAAGCGCGGUACUGUCACUUUUUUGUGGAGAGCUAUCAU